GAUGAAGAACGUAGUGAAAUGCGAUAAGUAAUGUGAAUUGCAGAAUUCAGUGAAUCAUCGAAUCUUUGAACGCACAUUGCGCCCAUUAGUAUUCUAGUGGGCAUGCCUGUUCGAGCGUCAUUUCAACCCUUAAGCCUAGCUUAGUAUUGGGAAUCGACUUUACUGUCGUUCCUCAAAUUCAACGGCGGAUUUAUAGCAAUCUCUGAACGUAGUAAUUUUUUUCCUCGUUUUUGAAAUACUAUAAACCUCAGCCGCUAAACCCCCAAUUUUUCUAUGGUUGACCUCGGAUCAGGUAGGAAUACCCGCUGAACUUAAGCAUAUCAAUAAGCGGAGGA
This 335-nucleotide unclassified non-coding RNA is filed under the name soil metagenome. RNAcentral's name for it is "partial contains 5.8S ribosomal RNA, internal transcribed spacer 2, and large subunit ribosomal RNA". The stretch from base 1 to 120 matches the Rfam family "5.8S ribosomal RNA", at positions 35 to 154 of the family's 154-position model. The record is from RNAcentral.